This 253-nucleotide long non-coding RNA is filed under the name Manihot esculenta (cassava). RNAcentral describes it as "long non-coding RNA (MESC_LNC000727)". Lineage: Eukaryota; Viridiplantae; Streptophyta; Magnoliopsida; Malpighiales; Euphorbiaceae. The record is from RNAcentral.
UCCUUUAGAAUUUUCACUCUUCCCUUCCACUUCUUUAAAUUUCCAAAUCCUUGGUUACUAUUUAUUCUCCCUCAACCUUGAAUUUUCUCUUUGAUUUCCCUUCUUUUCUUCAAAUUCUUCUUUGAAAAGGUGUUGGGAGAAGAUAGGUAGUUGAUUGGAGAUGGAAUUUUGAAGAAAUUUUGGUGUGAAAAAAAAAAGAUGGAGGAAUGGGUCUUCUCUUGGGUUCACGGGAAAGAGAGGAAAAAAAGUUGAA